This 404-nucleotide ribosomal RNA is filed under the name uncultured bacterium. RNAcentral's name for it is "bacterial SSU rRNA". It matches the Rfam family "Bacterial small subunit ribosomal RNA", at positions 355 to 775 of the family's 1533-position model. The record is from RNAcentral.
CAGGGAAUAUUCCGCAAUGGGCGCAAGCCUGACGGAGCAACGCCGCGUGCAGGAAGACGACUUUCGGGUUGUAAACUGCUUUUGUAUGGGAAGAUUAUGACGGUACCAUGCGAAUAAGGACCGGCUAACUACGUGCCAGCAGCCGCGGUAAUACGUAGGGUCCAAGCGUUAUCCGGAAUUACUGGGCGUAAAGAGUCUGUAGGCGGUUACUCGCGUGAGAUGCGAAAUCUGGUGGCUCAACCAUCUAGACUGUAUCUCAUACGGAGUGACUAGAGGACGGCAGAGGCAAGUGGAACUAGCGGUGUAGGGGUGAAAUCCGUAGAUAUCGCUAAGAACACCAAUGGCGAAGGCAGCUUGCUGGGCCGUCCCUGACGCUGAGAGACGAAAGCGUGGGGAGCGAACAG